UACGGAGGGUGCAAGCGUUGUUCGGAAUCACUGGGCGUAAAGGGCGUGUAGGCGGGUAAACAAGUCAGAUGUGAAAGACCUUGGCUUAACCAAGGAAGUGCAUUUGAAACUGUGUAUCUAGAGUGCGAGAGAGGAGAGUGGAAUUCCUAGUGUAGAGGUGAAAUUCGUAGAUAUUAGGAGGAACACCGGUGGCGAAAGCGACUCUCUGGAUCGCAACUGACGCUAAGACGCGAAAGCGUGGGGAGCAAACAGG
This 253-nucleotide ribosomal RNA is filed under the name uncultured bacterium. RNAcentral's name for it is "partial 16S ribosomal RNA". It matches the Rfam family "Bacterial small subunit ribosomal RNA", at positions 524 to 776 of the family's 1533-position model. The record is from RNAcentral.